CAGUAGCCACGGGAAUACAGAGGGUGCAAGCGUUAAUCGGAAUUACUGGGCGUAAAGCGCGCGUAGGUGGUUUGUUAAGUUGUAUGUGAAAUCCCCGGGCUCAACCUGGGAACUGCAUCCAAAACUGGCAAGCUAGAGUAUGGUAGAGGGUGGUGGAAUUUCCUGUGUAGCGGUGAAAUGCGUAGAUAUAGGAAGGAACACCAGUGGCGAAGGCGACCACCUGGACUGAUACUGACACUGAGGUGCGAAAGCGUGGGGAGCAAACAGGAUUAGAUACCCCGGUAGUCCCUGUCUCUUAUAC
RNAcentral lists this ribosomal RNA (301 nucleotides) under uncultured bacterium. RNAcentral's name for it is "partial 16S ribosomal RNA". It matches the Rfam family "Bacterial small subunit ribosomal RNA", at positions 509 to 807 of the family's 1533-position model. The record is from RNAcentral.